AUUGAACUGGCGGCAUGCCUUACACAUGCAAGUCGGAACGGCAGCAUGAUUAGCUUGCUAGAUUUGAUGGCGAGUGGGCGAAACGGGUGAGUAAUACAUGGAACGUGGCCCCUUAGUGGGGGAUAACUAGUCGAAAGAUUAGCUAUACCGCAUACGCACCUGAGGGUGAAAGUGGCGGACCGCAAGUCCUCAUGCUAUAGGAGCGGCCGAUGUCUGAUUAGCUAGUUGGUGAGGUAAAGGCUCACCAAGCGACGAUCCUGUAGCUGGUUUGAGAGGAGAUCAGCCACACUGGGACUGCUACACGGCCCAGACUCCUUACGGGAGGCAGCAGUGGGGAAUUUUGGACAAUGGGGGGCAACCCUGAUCCAAGGCAAUGCCCGCGUGUGUGAAGAAGGCCUUUCGGGGUUGUAAA
RNAcentral lists this ribosomal RNA (412 nucleotides) under Ralstonia sp. oral taxon F07. Its description in RNAcentral is "bacterial SSU rRNA". It matches the Rfam family "Bacterial small subunit ribosomal RNA", at positions 36 to 429 of the family's 1533-position model. The record is from RNAcentral. Lineage: Bacteria; Pseudomonadati; Pseudomonadota; Betaproteobacteria; Burkholderiales; Burkholderiaceae.